RNAcentral lists this ribosomal RNA (445 nucleotides) under uncultured bacterium. RNAcentral describes it as "partial 16S ribosomal RNA". It matches the Rfam family "Bacterial small subunit ribosomal RNA", at positions 29 to 523 of the family's 1533-position model. The record is from RNAcentral.
AACGAACGCUGGCGGCAGGCCUAACACAUGCAAGUCGAGCGCCCGCAAGGGAGCGGCGGACGGGUGAGUAACGCGUGGGAACGUGCCCUUUGCUACGGAAUAGCCUCGGGAAACUGAGAGUAAUACCGUAUGUGCCCUUCGGGGGAAAGAUUUAUCGGCAAAGGAUCGGCCCGCGUUGGAUUAGGUAGUUGGGGGGGUAAUGGCCUACCAAGCCGAAGAUCCAUAGCUGGUUUGAGAGGAUGAUCAGCCACACUGGGACUGAGACACGGCCCAGACUCCUACGGGAGGCAGCGGUGGGGAAUCUUGGACAAUGGGCGCAAGCCUGAUCUAGCCAUGCCGCGUGAUCGAUGAAGGCCUUAGGGUUGUAAAGAUCUUUCAGUGGGGAAGAUAAUGACUGUACCCACAGAAGAAGCCCCGGCUAACUCCGUGCCAGCCGCCGCAGUAA